Homo sapiens (human) is the source of this 64-nucleotide small nuclear RNA. NCBI's taxonomy places the organism in Eukaryota, Metazoa, Chordata, Mammalia, Primates, Hominidae. The record is from Ensembl.
GUACUCACCUCAGCAGCACAUAUACUAAAAUUGGAAUAAUACAGAGAAGAUUAGCGUGGCCCCU